Molecule: long non-coding RNA, 1635 nt
Organism: Sceloporus undulatus (fence lizard)
Lineage: Eukaryota; Metazoa; Chordata; Lepidosauria; Squamata; Phrynosomatidae
Exons: 3
Source: RefSeq, a predicted model, not a curated record
CCAGCCUUCAGUGACUUGAGAUCUGGCUGACAGUGUCCCAACCAAAGAGUUUCCAAGGCACGGAAGGACAUGGCAGCACAGCAGGAGACAUUGUAAACAGCGUCCUGCUGUUGUUCCAGUGGCCUCUGAAAGAACUGGAGCAAAAGGGUUGAUUUGAGGAUAAAGCAGGGAGGAGAUGCAAACCACAGUGAGCUCAUUGGAUGAAAAUGUAACAAAUACAUAGAUCAAUUAAUGUCAUGCCAACCAUGGAAGACAAACUCCUAAAUGUUGAGCUGAAAAGCAUCCCAGCUCUCAAAGGUUGACCUUUACUAAUCCUUUACAUCCAAGAUCAAACAAUAAACCUCAGUGCCUCCAUUUACCAAAGACUAAAUAAGAAAGUGUGAAGCCACAACUGAAGCUAUAUUAAUCUUCAAGAGGAAGAAAGCAAAUGCAAGCAAAUGUACAGCAGUCUCAUCACCAGAUGGGUGUGAAGGAUGGACACUCCACGAAAUUACACCCCAGAGGAGGGUUGAUAUCUGGUUGUGGCCUUCUCCUGCUGCAGGGUGUAUGUGAAUGCCUCCCCAGUAGCACCCACAUUUGGUGUCACCAAGCCUGGUGAUGCCACUGAUGAACAGUGCAUUUCUAAGAAUGUAUACUCAGAAGUUAAUCUGAGUUAAAUGAGACUUAUCCUCAGGUAAGCGUGCCUAGGACUGCAGCCAUGCUUUAAUGGAUUUUUGAUUGUCUAACCCUCUGCAUUCUGAAUACACUCAGAAGUCUCAGUGUGUUCAGUGGGACUUACGUCCUGAUAAAUUUUCACAGGAUUAUGGCACAAAGCUGAAACCUAUAUACACAAUUGCUGCAUCCCCUUGUGCUCUUAUUUGGAUGUUUGUUCUGUUUAUUGUAGUGGUCUCACCCUGUGAGGUAGGUCUGUCUGUGACAGAGGCUGAUGAGUCCAUGGUCAAGCAGUGAGUUUUAUGGCUUAAGAUGCACUAAAAUUUUUAUUUUUCAAGUCCUAGUGCAAGACUCUAAUCACCACACUGCACAUAUAAGAUGAUAAAGCCAUCAUAGGGUGAUUUUAUGUUUUGAUAUGAUGAUUGAUAAGUUGAAUGCUCUGUUUGGUCACAGUCACUGGCAAGGAUGCACCUCCACCACUUCCUAUACUUGAUGUCACAAUAAAAUGUGAUGGAUGCUAUAAAAAGGAUGCGUGGUACACUUUCUUAGUUUCUAUGAGCUACUAAACUGAGUUGAGGAUAAAGCCAGUCACUUACUGAACUUCAUUCAUUCUUGAAAGCAUCAACAAAGCCUUUGCAUAACAAACUUCCCAGUAUAACAUUCCCAUUUUACAGAUGGAGAAACUGAAUUUAUCUUCUGGUUGUCUAUUUUUGAUACUCCUCCCCCACAGUCAUGUCUUUAGGAGUGCUUUGAUUUGCUGCUGUUGGUGGUUGACAAAAGUUUAUUUUCCUGUCCUAAAGGCUUCUGCAGAACAAGCUGCAGUCAGAGGCAAGGGAACAACUCUGUCCAUUUUAUUUCAGGUCAAUUGGCAACUGUAGUUUAAAUCUCAGUGGUAGUACAAGGUAAGGUUUCCAUUUCUCCCUUGUGCUACAUUUUCCCCCAGAGAUGCAAAGAAACACCCUCCUUCCCACCCCUCUGCCCUGC